RNAcentral lists this ribosomal RNA (1085 nucleotides) under Calloselasma rhodostoma (Malayan pit viper). RNAcentral's name for it is "partial 16S ribosomal RNA". It matches the Rfam family "Bacterial large subunit ribosomal RNA", at positions 700 to 2581 of the family's 2925-position model. Lineage: Eukaryota; Metazoa; Chordata; Lepidosauria; Squamata; Viperidae. The record is from RNAcentral.
AUCACAGCCUUUUUCCCGAAACCGAACGAGCUAUUUUUAAGCAGUCUAAAGGACGCACCCAUCUAUGUAGCAAAAUAGUGGGAAGACUUAAAAAUAGCGGUGAAAUGCCUAUCGAGCUCGGAGAUAGCUGGCUACCUAAAAAUGAAUCUAAGUUCUACUUUAGGAAAAAAAUUAAUCAAUUAACCAACCUAAAGACAGUCAAUCAAGGUACAGCUUUAUUGACACGGGAUACAACCCAAAUUUGUAAGUAACUUAACUAAAUUCAACCAGUAGGCCUUCAAGCAGCCACCCUAAAAAAUAUCGUCAAAGAAUUAACCCAAACAAUUCCAACACCCACCAGAACUUCAAACUAACUAAAGGUGAAUCUACCGCUGUAGAUACCAUUAUGCUAAAACUAAUAAUAAGACCACAUCUCUCUAAACGCACCCCUCUGCUAGAAAUAGAAAAUCAACUAGUUAUUAACAGACCACAAAAGGUAAACACAACCCAAUACACACCUAAAACUCACUGUGACCCCAACACAGGAGCGUUAAAAAGAAAGAUCAACUGUUAUAAAAGGAACUAGGCAACCAAGGACUUCAACUGUUUAACAAAAACAUAACCUUUAGCCAAACCAGUAUUAAAGGCGACGCCUGCCCAGUGAAUAAUUAAACGGCCGCGGUACCCUAACCGUGCAAAGGUAGCACAAUCACUUGUCUAUUAAUUGUAGACCUGUAUGAAAGGCAAAAUGAAAGCCCGACUGUCUCUUAUAACAAAUCAAUAAAACUGAUCUCCUAGUACAAAAGCUAGAAUGUUAACAUAAGACCAGAAGACCCUGUGAAGCUUUAAUAAACCUAUUAAAUCAAAUAAUAACUUUUUUUGGUUGGGGCAACCUUGGAAUAAAAAAGAACUUCCAACAAUAUGACUCCUCAUAAAAUAAGGCAAACACGCCGCAAAUAUGACCCAGCACGGCUGAGUACUGAAAUAAGUUACUCCAGGGAUAACAGCGCUAUCUUCUUCAAGAGCCCAUAUCAAAAAGAAGGUUUACGACCUCGAUGUUGGAUCAGGACACCCCAGUAAUGCAGCCGUUACUAAAGGUCGUUGUC